UACGAAGGGGGCUAGCGUUGUUCGGAAUCACUGGGCGUAAAGCGUACGUAGGCGGAUACUUAAGUCAGAGGUGAAAGCCUGGAGCUCAACUCCAGAACUGCCUUUGAUACUGGGUGUCUUGAGUCCGGGAGAGGUGAGUGGAACUGCUAGUGUAGAGGUGAAAUUCGUAGAUAUUAGCAAGAACACCAGUGGCGAAGGCGGCUCACUGGCCCGGUACUGACGCUGAGGUACGAAAGCGUGGGGAGCAAAC
Molecule: ribosomal RNA, 250 nt
Filed under: uncultured bacterium
Lineage: Bacteria
Description: partial 16S ribosomal RNA
Rfam family: Bacterial small subunit ribosomal RNA
Source: RNAcentral